AUUGAACGCUGGCGGCAGGCCUAACACAUGCAAGUCGAACGGUAACAGGAAGCAGCUUGCUGCUUUGCUGACGAGUGGCGGACGGGUGAGUAAUGUCUGGGAAACUGCCCGAUGGAGGGGGAUAACUACUGGAAACGGUAGCUAAUACCGCAUAACGUCGCAAGACCAAAGAGGGGGACCUUAGGGCCUCUUGCCAUCGGAUGUGCCCAGAUGGGAUUAGCUAGUAGGUGGGGUAACGGCUCACCUAGGCGACGAUCCCUAGCUGGUCUGAGAGGAUGACCAGCCACACUGGAUCUGAGACACGGUCCAGACUCCUACGGGGGGCAGCAGUGGGGAAUAUUGCACAAUGGGCGCAAGCCUGAUGCAGCCAUGCCGCGUGUAUGAAGAAGGCCUUCGGGUUGUAAAGUACUUUCAGCGGGGAGGAAGGGAGUAAAGUUAAUACCUUUGCUCAUUGACGUUACCCGCAGAAGAAGCACCGGCUAACUCCGUG
Molecule: ribosomal RNA, 490 nt
Filed under: uncultured bacterium
Lineage: Bacteria
Description: partial 16S ribosomal RNA
Rfam family: Bacterial small subunit ribosomal RNA
Source: RNAcentral